CCUACGGGUGGCAGCAGUGAGGAAUAUUGGUCAAUGGACGAGAGUCUGAACCAGCCAAGUAGCGUGAAGGAUGACUGCCCUAUGGGUUGUAAACUUCUUUUAUGUGGGAAUAAACUGUUCCACGUGUGGGUUUUUGUAUGUACCACAUGAAUAAGGACCGGCUAAUUCCGUGCCAGCAGCCGCGGUAAUACGGAGGAUCCGAGCGUUAUCCGGAUUUAUUGGGUUUAAAGGGAGCGCAGGAGGCGUGUUAAGUGAGUUGAGAAAGGUCGCGGCUCAACCGUAAAAUUGCAGUGGAAACUGGCAGGCUUGAGUGCGGUAGAGGUGGGCGGAAUUCGUGGUGUAGCGGUGAAAUGCUUAGAUAUCACGAAGAACUCCGAUUGCGAAGGCAGCUCACUGGACUGCAACUGACGCUGAGGCUCGAAAGUGUGGGUAUCGAACAGGAUUAGAUACCCGAGUAGUC
This 460-nucleotide ribosomal RNA is filed under the name uncultured bacterium. RNAcentral describes it as "partial 16S ribosomal RNA". It matches the Rfam family "Bacterial small subunit ribosomal RNA", at positions 338 to 795 of the family's 1533-position model. The record is from RNAcentral.